RNAcentral lists this ribosomal RNA (407 nucleotides) under uncultured Alphaproteobacteria bacterium. Its description in RNAcentral is "bacterial SSU rRNA". It matches the Rfam family "Bacterial small subunit ribosomal RNA", at positions 933 to 1359 of the family's 1533-position model. The record is from RNAcentral. Lineage: Bacteria; Pseudomonadati; Pseudomonadota; Alphaproteobacteria.
UGGAGCAUGUGGUUUAAUUCGAAGCAACGCGCAGAACCUUACCAGCGUUUGACAUGUCCGGUUUGGUUUCCAGAGAUGGAUUCCUUCAGUUCGGCUGGCCGGAACACAGGUGCUGCAUGGCUGUCGUCAGCUCGUGUCGUGAGAUGUUGGGUUAAGUCCCGCAACGAGCGCAACCCUCAUCCCUAGUUGCCAUCAUUCAGUUGGGCACUCCAGGGAAACUGCCGGUGAUAAGCCGGAGGAAGGUGUGGAUGACGUCAAGUCCUCAUGGCCCUUACGGGUUGGGCUACACACGUGCUACAAUGGUGGUGACAAUGGGUUAAUCCCAAAAAGCCAUCUCAGUUCGGAUUGGGGUCUGCAACUCGACCCCAUGAAGUCGGAAUCGCUAGUAAUCGCGUAACAGCAUGACG